UACAGAGGUCCCAAGCGUUGUUCGGAUUCAUUGGGCGUAAAGGGUGCGUAGGCGGCGCGGUAAGUCGGGUGUGAAAUCCUGGAGCUCAACUCCAGAACUGCCUUUGAUACUGAAAGUCUUGAGUAUGGGAGAGGUGAGUGGAACUGCGAGUGUAGAGGUGAAAUUCGUAGAUAUUCGCAAGAACACCAGUGGCGAAGGCGGCUCACUGGCCCAUAACUGACGCUGAGGCGCGAAAGCUAGGGGAGCAAACAGG
This 253-nucleotide ribosomal RNA is filed under the name uncultured bacterium. Its description in RNAcentral is "partial 16S ribosomal RNA". It matches the Rfam family "Bacterial small subunit ribosomal RNA", at positions 524 to 776 of the family's 1533-position model. The record is from RNAcentral.